AUCAACGAUGAUGAGCUCUACAGACCUGUAAUGACUUGCGAAAAUGAUCGCAAUUCUUAAUGAACAUCUAAGGGACUGAGUUGUU
Molecule: small nucleolar RNA, 85 nt
Filed under: Capsicum baccatum
Lineage: Eukaryota; Viridiplantae; Streptophyta; Magnoliopsida; Solanales; Solanaceae
Description: Small nucleolar RNA SNORD25
Rfam family: Small nucleolar RNA SNORD25
About the family: U25 is a member of the C/D class of snoRNA which contain the C (UGAUGA) and D (CUGA) box motifs. U25 is found in gene clusters in plants, and within the U22 snoRNA host gene (UHG) in mammals.
Source: Rfam by way of RNAcentral